This 233-nucleotide long non-coding RNA is filed under the name Elaeis guineensis (African oil palm). Its description in RNAcentral is "long non-coding RNA (EGUI_LNC018435)". The record is from RNAcentral. Lineage: Eukaryota; Viridiplantae; Streptophyta; Magnoliopsida; Arecales; Arecaceae.
UAAUUAAAAAUGAAUCAAUUUGAAAUUAAAAAAAAAAAGUUAUACUCAAAGGAUUUUAUUAUCAUUAAAAAGGAGAAGAUUGUUGAUUCUGGAUUAAUUUUGAUGAUAACAAAAUCAUUUGAGUAUAAAUUGUUAAGUUUCUAAUAUUGUUUAUGAGGAUGUAUAGUUUUAAGUUUCAAGAAGCUUACAAUUUUCAAAUAUUUUUUAACAUUCAAAUAAAGAAUCACCACCCA